CACCAAGGCGACGAUCGGUAGCUGGUCUGAGAGGAUGAUCAGCCACAUUGGGACUGAGACACGGCCCAAACUCCUACGGGAGGCAGCAGUGGGGAAUAUUGGACAAUGGGCGCAAGCCUGAUCCAGCCAUGCCGCGUGAGUGAUGACGGCCCUAGGGUUGUAAAGCUCUCUCACCCACGACGAUAAUGACGGUAGUGGGAGAAGAAGCCCCGGCUAACUUCGUGCCAGCAGCCGCGGUAAUACGAAGGGGGCUAGCGUUGUUCGGAUUUACUGGGCGUAAAGCGCGCGUAGGCGGAUCUUUAAGUCAGGGGUGAAAUGCCGGAGCUCAACUUCGGAACUACCUUUGAUACUGGAGAUCUUGAGUUCGGGAGAGGUGAGUGGAACUGCGAGUGUAGAGGUGAAAUUCGUAGAUAUUCGCAAGAACACCAGUGGUGAAGGCGGCUCACUGGCCCGAUACUGACGCUGAGGCGCGAAAGCGUGGGGAGCAAACAGGAUUAGAUACCCUGGUAGUCCACGCCGUAAACGAUGGAUGCUAGCCGUUAGGCAGCUUGCUGCUUAGUGGCGCAGCUAACGCUUUAAGCAUCCCGCCUGGGGAGUACGGUCGCAAGA
RNAcentral lists this ribosomal RNA (609 nucleotides) under uncultured bacterium. RNAcentral describes it as "bacterial SSU rRNA". It matches the Rfam family "Bacterial small subunit ribosomal RNA", at positions 266 to 893 of the family's 1533-position model. The record is from RNAcentral.